UACAGAGGGUGCAAGCGUUGUUCGGAAUUACUGGGCGUAAAGCGCGUGUAGGCGGUUUUCUAAGUCAGGUGUGAAAGCCCCCGGCUUAACCGGGGAAGUGCGCCUGAAACUGGGAGGCUUGAGUAUCGGAGAGGAAAGGGGAAUUCCCGGUGUAGAGGUGAAAUUCGUAGAUAUCGGGAGGAACACCGGCGGCGAAGGCGCCUUUCUGGUCGAUCACUGACGCUGAGACGCGAAAGCGUGGGGAGCAAACAGG
RNAcentral lists this ribosomal RNA (253 nucleotides) under uncultured bacterium. RNAcentral describes it as "partial 16S ribosomal RNA". It matches the Rfam family "Bacterial small subunit ribosomal RNA", at positions 524 to 776 of the family's 1533-position model. The record is from RNAcentral.